GGGGGGCCUUCGGGCCUCUUGCCAUCGGAUGUGCCCAGAUGGGAUUAGCUAGUAGGUGGGGUAACGGCUCACCUAGGCGACGAUCCCUAGCUGGUCUGAGAGGAUGACCAGCCACACUGGAACUGAGACACGGUCCAGACUCCUACGGGAGGCAGCAGUGGGGAAUAUUGCACAAUGGGCGCAAGCCUGAUGCAGCCAUGCCGCGUGUAUGAAGAAGGCCUUCGGGUUGUAAAGUACUUUCAGCGGGGAGGAAGGGAGUAAAGUUAAUACCUUUGCUCAUUGACGUUACCCGCAGAAGAAGCACCGGCUACCUACGUGCCAGCAGCCGCGGUAAUCCGGAGGGUGCAAGCGUUAAUCGGAAUUACUGGGCGCAAAGCGCACGCUGGCCGCUUUUA
This 395-nucleotide ribosomal RNA is filed under the name Escherichia coli. RNAcentral describes it as "bacterial SSU rRNA". It matches the Rfam family "Bacterial small subunit ribosomal RNA", at positions 194 to 584 of the family's 1533-position model. The record is from RNAcentral. Lineage: Bacteria; Pseudomonadati; Pseudomonadota; Gammaproteobacteria; Enterobacterales; Enterobacteriaceae.